This 380-nucleotide unclassified non-coding RNA is filed under the name uncultured bacterium. RNAcentral's name for it is "contains 16S-23S intergenic spacer region". The record is from RNAcentral.
UCCGGUUUGUCACCGGCGGUCUCCUUAGAGUGCCCAACUAAAUGAUGGCAACUAAGGCCGAGGGUUGCGCUCGUUGCGGGACUUAACCCAACAUCUCACGACACGAGCUGACGACAGCCAUGCAGCACCUGUGUUCCUCCCACCCGAAGUGAAGGACUCCGUCUCUGGAGUCCACAGAGGACAUGUCAAGGGCUGGUAAGGUUCUUCGCGUUGCUUCGAAUUGAACCACAUGCUCCACCGCUUGUGCGGGCCCCCGUCAAUUCCUUUGAGUUUCAGCCUUGCGGCCGUACUCCCCAGGCGGAGUGCUUACUGGGUUUCCUUCGGCACUGAGGACAGGAAGUCCCCAACACCUAGCACUCAUCGUUUACGGCGUGGACUAC